UCAGUGCAAGACACAUGAAAGCCCGCAUGGAGUUGUGAGAUGGUGAGAAAUAAGAUUCUCUGGUCUGAUGAGCCCAAGAUAGAACUUUUCGGCCUUAGUUUUCUAAGUGUCUAAGUGCUAUGUGUGGAGAAAGCCAU
Sinocyclocheilus grahami is the source of this 137-nucleotide long non-coding RNA. RefSeq lists it as uncharacterized. The record is from RefSeq and is a predicted model, not a curated record. Lineage: Eukaryota; Metazoa; Chordata; Actinopteri; Cypriniformes; Cyprinidae. The transcript is spliced from 3 exons.